UUUGAUUCACGGUUCAGGGUGUUAGGAGGAGGUCGCAAUUAUUACCAUAUACAUCAAGAUGUGAGAACCUUCAUCCUCGUCCUCUCUCACGAAAUCUUCAAAGAAUGAGAAAGACGAAAUCCCUGAAUCCCCUUUUCACUCUUCCUCUUUAUUCAUCUCGGUUUGAAGCAUUGCGGGUUGCCCUUUCUUUCUAUUUUUUACCUUCUCUUAUCGAUUUCAGUGGUGGGCAGUUGUGGUUAAUGUAGGCUAUUGGUUGGUAUGGGAUCUGGUAUGUGUUUUGCGGGCUCGGUUGGUAUGGUGUCUGGUUGUGUUGAGGGCGGUGUGUAUAUGAACGGGGAUUGUUGUUUAUCUUGUUCGAGGUCUUUUGGGGUUCUCCGACUAUGUAGUGGGCUUCAGUUUCUUUUUCCUUCAUGUAGUUGGGCCUUUUGGGUUCUCCAGCUAUCUUCCCAGUUUUCAUGUUUUGCUCAAUUCUGUCUUCGACUCUAAUCAAUGAAUUGAAAUCACAUGUAUUAUUCCUAAUCAUCUUGUCGAAGAAAGGGUUAGGGAGAGUAUUGAUGAAGAUAGUGAUCUGCUCUUCUUCCUCCAGACGAGGUAAGACUUGUGAGGCGACUCCUCUCCAUCUGUGUGCAUAUUCCCUGAAUGAUUCACUUGUCGGUUUCGACAUGCUUUGAAGCUUGUUGCGGUCCAUCGCAGAGUCCUCAUUAAAUUUAUACUGCCUUAUGAAGGCAUUAGAAAGAUCCAGGAAGGUUUUGAUGUUCUUGCUCUCAAGGCGGAUAUACCAAGAGGUGGCGAUUCCCACUAGGCUGUCUUGAAAGCAAUGAAUCAGCAACUUAUUAUCAUUAUGGUAUGCAAACAUUUUCCGUGCAUACAUGUGAAGAUGGCUCUUCGGGCAUGUAGUCCCAUCAUACUUCUCGAAUUCUGGAACCUUGAAUUUAGGAGGAAGAAUGACAUCCGGGACUAAGCACAUUUCAAAAGCAUUCUUUAGAUCGGGACACUUAGACCCUUCCACAACUUUGAGCCUUUCAUUAAUGACGUCCCACAUUUCAUCUUCCUUCCUCUUCCCCUUACCAUUGCGUUGAGUGUCUUUACCAGCUUGAUGGCAUGUAGAGCUUUUGUCAUUAUGGGGAGGGUGGUAGUUAGGAUCGUCAUCAGAAUCAUGUUGGUAUGUGUGUUGUGAGCCUUCCUUGUUUGACGAGGUGUGUCCAUGUGGCGCACCCUGAUGUUUCGAGGCAGACUCUUGGUCGGGCCCUUUUUCAUUGGCAUUGUGCGUGGAUUGGGCUCGCUUAUCUGAUGCAGAAGAAUUCCUGGAUUCCAUUUCUUGUUGCAUGGCUACCAUCAUCCUCAUCAUUACUGUUAUUUGCUCCUUCAGCUCAAUCACCUCGGGAUUCCCUCCCAUAGAAGCUUCCUGGUCGGCCACGGUCUUUGUUUUUGAUCGGGUAUUAUAAGGAUGUUGGGGUGCAAUGAUUAGAGAACCUGUUUUAUAUUUGAAAAAUAAAAAGUUGAAAAAUAAAUGAUAGAAAUGAAAGCAAAAAGAUUUCUUUGUCUUCGAGGGGCUUGGUAUAGUAAGACAUCUUGACUCGUAGGCUUCUCUUACGUUGAUGACAAUACUCAGAGGAAACUCUAGGCUUCGGACCUUACUUGCAUCUAGGCUUAUUCUCUCAUUGUGGAUCACUAUCAUUAAACAUCUUGUCAUGUAUUUGGUAAUCUUGGGAGCGUAGCCUGCAAGACCGUUUACAUUUGAUACCAAUCGUUAGAAGAAACUCUAGGCUUCAGACCAAGAUUGUGUCUAAUUACAAGAUGUUUUUACUCUGUCACGAAUUUUUUACUUGCAUAUUAGAUAAGAUGAUGAGCCCUUAUGAUACUUGUAUAGAUAACAACUUGGAUAAACUCUGAGAAAAGGAGAAAUUUUUUAUUCAUAUUCAUAAGUAGGACUACAAUUUUCCUUUAUUCAUUAUCUCUUUCUUUUUAUUUUUAACAAAGAAGAAGAAAAACAUAAAAUGCUCAAUAUUCUUUACAUGCAGUAGUUCUCCACCUUCUGAGUUUCCAAGCCAACUUAUCACAUGCUUCAUAGAAGGUUCUCAUGGAAGGGCGUAGGCUUGUUUCAGGGUACAUUUCCACCUCUUGGUGGGCAUCAUCAAAGGUUCUCAACCAAUUGUCCGCAAACUCCCCAAGACCCUCGAUGAUUUGCCUACAUCUUCCUUCCCACUUCUCCUUGUCCCAUUUGCACUCCUGAAGCAUGUUCUCCCAGUUGUGUGACCAUUCAUGAUGUUUGGCAUUCAACCCAUUGUAGGCUUCCUCGAGGUCCUUCAUUCGUCCAGAAAGAUGGGUCUUAUCGCGGUUCGCCUCAGCCAAUGCCUGGAAAUGAGCAUCCAACGCAACAUUCAAUUGAUCUUCUCUUUUCCGGGCUCGCAUUAAGGCUUCCUGAUAUUCUUUUAAGAUAGCCCCUGUUUGGCCCUCAUCCUUUUGGUUAGCUUGCAGAUUCUCUAUUUUUGCUUUCAGAGUGUGGACAUCCCUUUGGGCAGUAUGUAGGGCUCGCCCUCGGGCCUUUAGUUGAUCAGCUAUGUCGGCUAUCUGCUCAUCUUUUUCCCUCUCCGACCUGAUCAGUUCAUUUAUUUUUUCGUCUUUUUCUUUACCAGCUCGUCUUCAAACUGACUUCCUCCUUUUUCUGUGCAGCUAUGGUUUUGUUAAGCCUUUCCACCGUCAGUUUAUAUUUCUCAAUCUCAUCUCAAGCUUCCCCCAACUUGGCUUCUAGAAGCUUGUUCUAACUAAUGAGUAGUAGUUCAUUCUGGGAUGGCCCAACUGGUUCUUUCGGUGCUUCGGAUGGUGGUAGUAUAACAUAUUUCAUUAUUUCAUUCCUCCAUCCUUUAUACUCUUCAGUGUAAUAGGCUUGGUGUUCUCCUAGUUCAUUCUUCCCACAGAGAUGGAUAUUUCACAGAGCAUUCCUCACAGAAAUGAGAACUUCUCUGGUAGUCCCCUCGUCCUUAUACUAUACUGUAAUUCCUCGCAACUUUUCUUGAGGUUUGGGAUUCAUACCCCAUUUCAGUUAUCCAAGUACCAAGGCUGGCGUGAAAGAGAUGCAUCCCCGAGGGCCCAUCAACAUCAUGUUAGGAUAGUCUCCAAAUGAGUACAUUACUGCCUGGUGUUUGUCAUAUAAGGAACACUUUGUUUCAAAAUUCCUAGGGGUUACCUCUUUGAACAACUUCUUCCAAUCCACCAGCUGCAUAGGUUUGAUUGCAAUAUUUCUGAACCGACACAGAGGGUACCUGUUCCAAUCCGGAUAUUGGUGGUGCACCAACCGAGUAGUCAUCCAUACAUAGAGUAAUUGUACGCAAAACCGGACUUUGUGGUAGCCUUUUUCAUGACACCUUUGGAAUGAUAGGAGAGUUUCUGCAACUACUGCUGGUACUGGGUUAACUCUGAACCUCCUGACUUUGGCGAAGACACCCAUUGCUGCUUGGUCUACCAUAUCAUAUACUAAAGGAAAUAGGACCAUAUCAUAUACUGCUAGAGCAAAAGCGGGUUUGAAUAGCUCCCAAUUUCCUUGUUCGACCAUUUUGGCAACAUGUUUCUUCAAAAAAGUAGUCUUUAGCCCAUACACUUCUCCCUGUUUGAUUAUCUGGUUUGGACCGGGAUGCACCCCGAUCAGCCUCUCGAUAUAUUCUUCUGUGACACUCUGAGUACCGCUAUACUGAUACAACUUUAACCUAUUUGAUAGCUCGAUAUCUGUGAUGGAGGAACCGAUGUCGAGGAGGACCUCAUACUCCUCCACAGUUGGGGAUGCAUCAAUAUUUGGGAAUUCGAAGACGUGUAGAGUAGUGUUCCAGUAUUGGAUCAUAUCCUUCAUGGCCUUUAAUGUUUCUAUAUCAACCGUGAUGAGAAGUAGGUCGGACAAUCUUCCAUACUCUCUUGUCAACUGAUCCUGAACCUCUUGAGGGAUCUUAGGGACCAUAUCUGCUAGAAAACUCACAUCCAUAACUUGUAGCUCUACCCUUACUCUUUUCUUUACCGACAGAGUGCUGAUAGAACCCACAACUUGAGAAUCGGUUUCCAUGUCUUACUAUACCAGUUUCUCUUUGACAAAGUAAUCUGCAAAAGGCGUGACAAUCGUAAAGGUGUUAAAUAAAUGAGAUAAAGAAUGCAUGGAUGAAUGCAUGAAUGAAUGAUGUGCAUGAUGUAUACCCCCUAGGAUGCUGGUCCUUAUAUGGGGGCAGUAAAAUAUUGAUUUUAUUAUAUUAUCUUUUCAUAACAUGGUGAUAUAAACUUGUCCCUAGGGCCUUGAGCCCAUUAAUGGGACUAAUUGCAGCAUGGGAUUAAAUGAAAUAACCCCGAUUAGUCUGAUAUAACAUAAAUUACGUCUUUAGGGUGUUUGCACCCAUCGACGAGUGUGUAUGAAAUGCAUCCCGUAGGGCAUCGGGCCCUCUAGUAGGGAUGUUGAAGGAACUGGCCAUUUACGGCUUACGCCCCACUUUUAUGAUUGUAAAUAGUAAAGGAUAGAAAUUGUUUGCUUCUUGUGUCCUAAAUAAGGUACGUCUUACAAGGAAUGUUUAGAGGUUACAUCCUGGGGUGAGGAUACUAGAUUUUGUCUAGAGUGGACUUGGUAAAGCUCUAGACUUCUAGGUCACCAGAUCGCAUCCAAAGAUGUGAGAACCUUCAUCCUCGUCCUCUCUCACGAAAUCUUCAAAGAAUGAGAAAGACGAAAUCCCUGAAUCCCCUUUUUCACUCUUCCUCUCUAUUCGUCUCGGUUUGAAGCAUUGCGGGUCGCCCUCUUUCUAUUUUUUACCUUCUCUUCUCGAUUUCAGUGGUGGUAGCGAUGAUUGAGAAUCAUCGGUGGCUUAUGAAAAAAAG
Molecule: long non-coding RNA, 4845 nt
Filed under: Lupinus angustifolius (narrow-leaved blue lupine)
Lineage: Eukaryota; Viridiplantae; Streptophyta; Magnoliopsida; Fabales; Fabaceae
Description: long non-coding RNA (LANG_LNC000270)
Source: RNAcentral